UGCAGUCACGGCAGCACAGUAGGUAGCAAUACCUAUGGGUGGCGAGUGGCGGACGGGUGAGUAAUGCUUAGGAAUCUGCCCAAUGGUGGGGGAUAACUAACCGAAAGGUUAGCUAAUACCGCAUACGCCUUUACGGGGAAAGCGGGGGAUCGAAAGACCUCGCGCCGAUGGAUGAGCCUAAGUCCGAUUAGCUAGUUGGUAGGGUAAAAGCCUACCAAGGCGACGAUCGGUAGCUGGUCUGAGAGGACGGCCAGCCACACUGGAACUGAGACACGGUCCAGACUCCCACGGGAGGCAGCAGUGGGGAAUAUUGGACAAUGGGGGCAACCCUGAUCCAGCAAUGCCGCGUGUGUGAAGAAGGCCUGCGGGUUGUAAAGCACUUUCGGUUGGGAAGAAAAGUUUGGCGCUAACAUCGCCGAACCUUGACGUUACUGACAGAAGAAGCACCGGCUAACUCUGUGCCAGCAGCCGCGGUAAUACAGAGGGUGCAAGCGUUAAUCGGAAUCACUGGGCGUAAAGCGUGCGUAGGUGGUCAUGCAAGUCGGGUGUGAAAUCCCCGGGCUUAACCUGGGAACUGCAUUCGAUACUACAUGGCUAGAGUAUGGUAGAGGGAAGUGGAAUUUCCGGUGUAGCGGUGAAAUGCGUAGAUAUCGGAAGGAACACCAAUGGCGAAGGCAGCUUCCUGGACCAAUACUGACACUGAGGUACGAAAGCGUGGGUAGCAAACAGAUUAGAUACCCUGUAGUCCACGCCCUAAACGAUGAGAACUAGCCGUGGGGGGAAUUAAAUCUCCUAGUGGCGCAGCUAACGCGUUAAGUUCUCCGCCUGGGGAGUACGGCCGCAAGGUUAAAACUCAAAGAAUUGAGGGGGCCCGC
RNAcentral lists this ribosomal RNA (875 nucleotides) under uncultured Gammaproteobacteria bacterium. Its description in RNAcentral is "bacterial SSU rRNA". It matches the Rfam family "Bacterial small subunit ribosomal RNA", at positions 56 to 924 of the family's 1533-position model. Lineage: Bacteria; Pseudomonadati; Pseudomonadota; Gammaproteobacteria. The record is from RNAcentral.